Molecule: non-coding RNA, 198 nt
Organism: Capsicum annuum
Lineage: Eukaryota; Viridiplantae; Streptophyta; Magnoliopsida; Solanales; Solanaceae
Source: Rfam
GUACCUUUCUCGGCCUUUUGGCUAAGGUCAAGCGUAGUAUUUGCUCUUAUCAAUUUAAUAUUUGAUAUGCGUACUAUUGGUUCACAUGAUGUUAACUUAAUUUUUUAAGGGAAGGUCCGUCCAUUGGGGUUGCUUGCUAUCUGAGCCCUUGUGCGUCGUCUAGGCUUUGCACUGCAGCCCAGGCCUGAAUCACCCCAU